GGAAUAUUGGGCAAUGGGCGAGAGCCUGACCCAGCCAUGCCGCGUGCCGGAUGAAGGCCUUCUGGGUUGUAAACGGCUUUUCUCAGGGAAGAAAAAGACCUUGCGAGGUACACUGACGGUACCUGAGGAAUAAGCACCGGCUAACUCCGUGCCAGCAGCCGCGGUAAUACGGAGGGUGCAAGCGUUGUCCGGAUUUAUUGGGUUUAAAGGGUGCGUAGGUGGCCCUAUAAGUCCGGGGUGAAAGCCCACAGCUCAACUGUGGAACUGCCCUGGAUACUGUCGGGCUUGAGAGUCGUCGAGGGUGGNGGAAUNGACGGUGUAGCGGUGAAAUGCAUAGAUACCGUCCAGAACCCCAAUUGCGUAGGCAGCUGCCUNGGNGACAUCUGACACUGAGACACGAAAGCGUGG
Molecule: ribosomal RNA, 408 nt
Filed under: Bacteroidetes bacterium SCGC AAA487-J05
Lineage: Bacteria; Pseudomonadati; Bacteroidota
Description: bacterial SSU rRNA
Rfam family: Bacterial small subunit ribosomal RNA
Source: RNAcentral